RNAcentral lists this ribosomal RNA (253 nucleotides) under uncultured bacterium. RNAcentral's name for it is "partial 16S ribosomal RNA". It matches the Rfam family "Bacterial small subunit ribosomal RNA", at positions 524 to 776 of the family's 1533-position model. The record is from RNAcentral.
UACAGAGACUGCAAGCGUUAUUCGGAUUCACUGGGCGUAAAGGGUGCGCAGGCGGCCGUAUGUGUGAGGCGUGAAAGCCCGGGGCUUAACCCCGGAAUUGCACCUCAAACUAUACGGCUAGAGCAUUGGAGAGGGUAGCGGAAUUCACGGUGUAGCAGUGAAAUGCGUAGAUAUCGUGAGGAACACCAGAAGCGAAGGCGGCUACCUGGACAAUUGCUGACGCUCAGGCACGAAAGCGUGGGGAGCAAAAGGG